RNAcentral lists this long non-coding RNA (1759 nucleotides) under Populus trichocarpa (black cottonwood). RNAcentral describes it as "long non-coding RNA (PTRI_LNC002297)". The record is from RNAcentral. Lineage: Eukaryota; Viridiplantae; Streptophyta; Magnoliopsida; Malpighiales; Salicaceae.
CUCCAUGAGGGGAUUUCCGCACUCACUUUUGGCACAAGUUAUGAUGAUAUCGAAAGGACUCAUCCAGGAUAAACCCCACCAGCUAUACCAAAAAGCUUUUUUCCAUGACUGGCAGGCCCGUGUCCGAAUAUCUUUUGCCUCUGCAAUAUUGCCACUGCUCCUCACAUCAAAUGUACAUACAAAUCAAGCUUCAGCAGUGUUUCGAACAAGCUAUGAUGUAAUUAUGUAACCUUGUAAUAGUUUUGAAAGAUAGACCCUAGAAAGAAGAAGAAGAAGAAAGCGAGGCGACCAUUUAAAGACAGGGCGAAGAAGUAAGAAAGUACUGUAUCAACUAACAGGAGACUUUAUGCGUCGUCCUAAGUGACGGUCCCUGCAACGAAAGCAAUGUGCUAUAUUCAAGUCAUUACAAGGAUGAAAUCAGGCUGUGACUUGUACAGGACUGGGUUUGAGUGACAUGUAGUUCUGGUUCAGGUUCCUCUCAUCACACAUCAACUGUUCUUCGUCCUCCUCAACUUCCCUGGAAGAAGAAAGCUUUUGAUUGGUUGGCAUGGUGGAGCCAAGGUGUUCUGUUGAAGGGACCCAGGUGAGGACGCAGUCACGCAAGUUAAUAAAUGUUUCAUAAAUUAGUUGUCCAUGUAUAGAAAAUGUAUGUCCAUCAGAGUACAUUUUUUUUUAUAGAAAAAAUCCUUAAAUUAUAAGACAAACAGAUGCUAACAGGAUCUUCAAAAUCUUCGAAUGUGCCGUGCCUCUUACUUCUGUUACUGAACCUUGUGCUUCACUUCCUCGGUAAUCAAUUGAUCAAAAAUCUUGAUGGGAUUUUAAACUUAAAAGGGACUCCAUUUAUUUAUUAUGAGAAUGCAAUCCAUAGUUAUAUAUCUAUCUGGCUUCUGUAAUCUUGGAGCUCCACAGCAUAAUCUUGCUUCUCUCAUCCAUUCUUGCUGUACAAUUGAUUUCUUCUUCUUCUUUUAUGAAAAGCCUGAGAACAAAGAGGAUUGUGUGAUAGUAGUGGUAAUUUAAAGUGUUUUUUGUUUAAAUAUAUAUUAAAAUAAUAUAUUUUUUAAUUUUUAAAAUUUAUUUUUAAUACCAACACAUUAAAACAACAAAAAAAAAAUUAUUUUUUAAUAAAAAACAAAUUUUAAUCGAUCGAUUUUUAUUUUUACGGCAGUACCAAACAUGGGAAAGUAUAUCCGUGAACAAGAUAAUUAAAUUAUGACCCCACCAUAUACAAGCAACUUGUGUGUAUAUCAUGUGAUAAAAAGCAAAGAGAUGUUUUAGAUAUAGUGUAUCAAUCAAAUGUACAGGCCCACUGUGCUCACAAUAUCGGGUAAAAAUCUAUAUGCUGUAUGAGGACCAAACUCCAAAGCACAUGUCUAUGCUCACAUGGGUAGGUGCAUUUUGUUUUUCAGCCUAUAGGCGCCCUUCCUGCUUUAUACACUGUUGGAUGUUAGAACAAAUUAUCACCAGCACUGUUAAUUUUUUUUCCCAAAAUUGUUUAUGAACAUGGUAAAGUAGAGGAUGAAUUUAAAUAAUUUUAUCCCCUGUAUUAGCAGUUUAUAGUUCAAAAUCUUCUUAACAUUGACCAUAUAGAUUCCAAAGAGUUUCAUUUCGGCUUGUAAUUGUUUGUUUUUUUUUUUAGUUUAACAUGGGUGUCCGGGUCAGUUUGCACGCACCUCGACUAUUCCUACGGGCCCUGAAGUUAACGAUCAUGCAAGCCUCCAGUGGUCAUCAUAUGAGCAACCACAGGGCUCGAACCUGAGAC